This 433-nucleotide ribosomal RNA is filed under the name uncultured bacterium. RNAcentral describes it as "partial 16S ribosomal RNA". It matches the Rfam family "Bacterial small subunit ribosomal RNA", at positions 29 to 507 of the family's 1533-position model. The record is from RNAcentral.
AACGAACGCUGGCGGCAUGCCUAACACAUGCAAGUCGAACGAGACCUUCGGGUCUAGUGGCGCACGGGUGCGUAACGCGUGGGAACCUGCCCUUAGGUUCGGAAUAACUCCCCGAAAGGGGUGCUAAUACCGGAUAAUGUCUUCGGACCAAAGAUUUAUCGCCUUUGGAUGGGCCCGCGUUGGAUUAGCUUGUUGGUAGGGUAAAAGCCUACCAAGGCGACGAUCCAUAGCUGGUUUGAGAGGAUGAUCAGCCACACUGGGACUGAGACACGGCCCAGACUCCUACGGGAGGCAGCAGUGGGGAAUAUUGGACAAUGGGCGGAAGCCUGAUCCAGCAAUGCCGCGUGAGUGAUGAAGGCCUUAGGGUUGUAAAGCUCUUUUACCCGGGAUGAUAAUGACAGUACCGGGAGAAUAAGCUCCGGCUAACUCCGUG